This is a long non-coding RNA of Ruditapes philippinarum (Manila clam), 1335 nucleotides long. RefSeq lists it as uncharacterized. The transcript has 4 exons. The record is from RefSeq and is a predicted model, not a curated record. NCBI's taxonomy places the organism in Eukaryota, Metazoa, Mollusca, Bivalvia, Venerida, Veneridae.
UUUUAUCGUUUUAAUAUCAAAAUGCGAUCAAUAGAAUAGUUGAAUUUUGUGAACAACAGCUUAUUUCAGGGUUAAACUGAUUUGUUUUUAGAAAAUUUGACCACUGUUUAAUCUGUUUCGCUAUCCAAUAUGGCCACCGGAUUAGAUAAUUAAAGCAGGGAUUUAGACUGGGAGGUUACGAGUUUGAUUUUGAUUUCUAAACUGUAUAUUUUUUUUAAUUAAUAAUUUGUUUGAAAAAUGCAAAAAAAUGAAAAGGGCAUUUCUUAAAUUUGUUAAUCAUAUAUAACUUCCCUUUAGGGUAAAAAAGACACCGCGUUAAAAUAACGACAUUUAAACAUCGAAGAUGUCAAUGUAUUACUAUUACAGCCCCUGGACAUGGUCGUACUAAAGGAUUAAUCAGUGUGUGUGACACGACCUAUGUAUGCUUGAUUGGUCAACUGAUUGGACUUUAUAAUCUUGAGCGAUCUCAAUUAUCACUUAAAAUCAGGGGUGCGAAAGAUCAUAUCGACAAGACACACUAUUUUAUCAACAUGCAGGGGCUGUAGAUAUUACUAAAUAAUAAAGGACAGUGGAAAGCGUGUUUUAAUCUUCCAGAAAUGCAACUGUGCCCUCUUUACAGCAAUUAUAGAUGAAGCAAAGUAUGGAAGCAAGUUAUAUAGAUAUACACACAUGCCGAAGAAGAUUGUAAUAUCUGGAGAAAACAUUUCCUUCGUCAAGAAAUAGACACCGUUACACUGGUCUACGUAACAUUCCUAUUAUAGAUGAUUGAUAUAUUUAAGUGCUUUUAAGAACAGUGUUUGAAUGUCGAAUUUCUGUGAAUACGGAUUUUUAGUUUUAAUGGUUAUUAUUAAAACUUUCUGUUAUAAUCAAUUUGUGCUAUGGACUCAUUUUCCUAAAAUAAUAUGUGAAUGUUAACACGAAAAAAAUGAUAUUAAUAUCUUUAAAAUGUUUUAUGGCUGUAAUAUAAGUGGCUCAUAAAAAUCAUUGUUAAGAUAAUCAGAAAAGAAAGUCAAGUUGGUAUAGUUUGUUCUAGAUUUAAACAACAUGCAAUUCAUAAAGGUUACGGCUUGAAAAUAUCGAAACAUGUACAUGUAUAAUUCGAUCUUUGAAGAAAAUAUCGCGAUGAGGAUGUUCUGCACUGUGAUACGUAUUACAUGACUCUGUAUCGCAACAUACCGGUAUAUCGCUAUUCCGUUGCAACGCUACAUUAAUGUGUCCCUCUAGAAUAAGGCUUACAACAAUAUAUGACUGUUGAAGCGAAGACAUGUUUAUUUUGUUUAAUAUAUGUAUACAUAUUGAAUAUAUGUUUAAGAAAUAAUAAAUAUUUAAGAGUGA